Molecule: ribosomal RNA, 451 nt
Filed under: uncultured bacterium
Lineage: Bacteria
Description: partial 16S ribosomal RNA
Rfam family: Bacterial small subunit ribosomal RNA
Source: RNAcentral
GAUGAACGCUGGCGGCGUGCCUAACACAUGCAAGUCGAGCGGCAGAGAGGGGUGCUUGCACCCUGUCGGCGAGCGGCGGACGGCUGAGUAACGCGUGGGAACGUGCCCCAAAGUGAGGAAUAACUGCCCGAAAGGGUAGCUAAUACCGCAUAUUAUCUUCGGAUCAAAGGAUUUAUCCGCUUUGGGAGCGGCUCGCGUCGGAUUAGGUAGUUGGUGAGGUAAUGGCUCACCAAGCCGACGAUCCGUAGCUGGUCUGAGAGGAUGGCCAGCCAGACUGGAACUGAGACACGGUCCAGACUCCUACGGGAGGCAGCAGUGAGGAAUCUUCCACAAUGGGCGAAAGCCUGAUGGAGCAACGCCGCGUGCAGGACGAAGGCCUUCGGGUUGUAAACUGCUUUUAUAAGUGAGGAAUAUGACGGUAACUUAUGAAUAAGGAUCGGCUAACUACGUG